UUCUUCGGGGUCGGGUGCAAUUCCCAACCGGCGGUAUAGUCCGCGACCCACUGCCAUAUUGACAGCGGUUGAACUGGUGUAAUUCCAGUACCGACAGUAAAGUCUGGAUGAGAGAAGAA
Molecule: non-coding RNA, 119 nt
Filed under: Faecalicatena contorta
Lineage: Bacteria; Bacillati; Bacillota; Clostridia; Lachnospirales; Lachnospiraceae
Description: FMN riboswitch (RFN element)
Rfam family: FMN riboswitch aptamer (RFN element)
About the family: The RFN element is a highly conserved domain that is found frequently in the 5'-untranslated regions of prokaryotic mRNAs that encode for flavin mononucleotide (FMN) biosynthesis and transport proteins. This element is a metabolite-dependent riboswitch that directly binds FMN in the absence of proteins. In Bacillus subtilis, the riboswitch most likely controls gene expression by causing premature transcription termination within the 5' untranslated region of the ribDEAHT operon and precluding access to the ribosome-binding site of ypaA mRNA.
Source: RNAcentral